RNAcentral lists this ribosomal RNA (620 nucleotides) under Saccharomyces cf. cerevisiae/paradoxus. RNAcentral describes it as "LSU rRNA". It matches the Rfam family "Eukaryotic large subunit ribosomal RNA", at positions 34 to 664 of the family's 3401-position model. The record is from RNAcentral. Lineage: Eukaryota; Fungi; Ascomycota; Saccharomycetes; Saccharomycetales; Saccharomycetaceae.
UUGCCCAUUUCAUAAGCGGAGGAAAAGAAACCAACCGGGAUUGCCUUAGUAACGGCGAGUGAAGCGGCAAAAGCUCAAAUUUGAAAUCUGGUACCUUCGGUGCCCGAGUUGUAAUUUGGAGAGGGCAACUUUGGGGCCGUUCCUUGUCUAUGUUCCUUGGAACAGGACGUCAUAGAGGGUGAGAAUCCCGUGUGGCGAGGAGUGCGGUUCUUUGUAAAGUGCCUUCGAAGAGUCGAGUUGUUUGGGAAUGCAGCUCUAAGUGGGUGGUAAAUUCCAUCUAAAGCUAAAUAUUGGCGAGAGACCGAUAGCGAACAAGUACAGUGAUGGAAAGAUGAAAAGAACUUUGAAAAGAGAGUGAAAAAGUACGUGAAAUUGUUGAAAGGGAAGGGCAUUUGAUCAGACAUGGUGUUUUGUGCCCUCUGCUCCUUGUGGGUAGGGGAAUCUCGCAUUUCACUGGGCCAGCAUCAGUUUUGGUGGCAGGAUAAAUCCAUAGGAAUGUAGCUUGCCUCGGUAAGUAUUAUAGCCUGUGGGAAUACUGCCAGCUGGGACUGAGGACUGCGACGUAAGUCAAGGAUGCUGGCAUAAUGGUUAUAUGCCGCCCGUCUUGAACCCGGGGACCA